Molecule: small nucleolar RNA, 133 nt
Organism: Boleophthalmus pectinirostris (great blue-spotted mudskipper)
Lineage: Eukaryota; Metazoa; Chordata; Actinopteri; Gobiiformes; Gobiidae
Source: RefSeq, a predicted model, not a curated record
ACUGAGGUUGGUCCUGAUUCAUCUUCUCAGUAGACUGUAUCAUGGGAAACGCCUCAUAGAGAAAAUCUGUAGCCUCGCUUUACCCAUAUGUUCACCUUUUCUUGAGCAUGUGGGAUAAUGCUCCAGUACAGAC